Molecule: small nuclear RNA, 18 nt
Filed under: Arabidopsis thaliana (thale cress)
Lineage: Eukaryota; Viridiplantae; Streptophyta; Magnoliopsida; Brassicales; Brassicaceae
Description: snRNA_00572
Source: RNAcentral
UUCCUUGGAUGUCUGAAA